This 1995-nucleotide long non-coding RNA is filed under the name Homo sapiens (human). RNAcentral describes it as "HSALNT0135043". Lineage: Eukaryota; Metazoa; Chordata; Mammalia; Primates; Hominidae. The record is from RNAcentral.
AUCAAAGUUUGAUGGGCCUGAGAACUAGCUGGAUCACCUGGAUGGAAAGAUCUUGAGUGGCAGAAAAUGUGGAUAACCCAUCCCUGCAUCACUGGACUCCAGUGCUACAGAAAUGCUCAUCAGAGAAAUGCACAUCAAAUUAGUAAGGACUUUGUAGUCUUACAAGACUUAAACAGAUUACAUUCUAGUAAUCUAGUUUUCCCUCUUCUCUGAGUACAAUUGACUUCACAUUAAUGGGUAAAGUUAUCUUUCAUUGGAAUAAAGACUACAGAACACACUAGCUACCUUCUGAUCCCAAUAACUCAUCCCCUCCACCUAACACUGCUAUAGGAAAUUGGCUGUGUUGAACAGAAUCGAAAAUGUUCCUCAAUUAUCCUUGCAGGACAGAGUGAUCUGAUGCCUAUUUCUACCUCCUGCAGAUCUGAAUCUGCCCCCUGCUAUCAUGAGUAGGAGACAGAUUCCCAGAACACAAACCUAGGUGUCUCUCAAUAGCAGCCAUCUGCUUCUCCCGGAAACACAGCAACUUUUUUUCUGAAAAUGUUUUAUUGAGAAAUGCAUGCUUAUCUCUAAUUCCUCAGGGGAAUUUCCUUGUAGGGACAUGAGUUACUUGCCUUCAGAUGAAAACCUAAAGAAGAAAAGAACAAAAACAAAGCAAGGCCAAGAAUCAUCCUCCGAAAGUCUCAGGAACACCCAGGAGGUCUCACACAAUCACAAUCCAGAAAUUAGUUUCUAUCAAACUGUGCUUCUUGUCUGAAACUCCUCCUGUAGUUGACUCUAAACUUGCCACAUAAUCGCAGAGGAGACAGGAAGAAAAGAGAACCCACUGAAGGCAUCGCCCGCCACCUCGAUGCAUGAUCUCCGUGCUGAGGCAGACCUGUUUUUUGCCAUGUUUAGGUCUCAAUUAUUAAUCAAGAAGAGUUUUCUCAGCUCCUAACCUCAAAAGCACAAGUUGACAGUCUGGGUCUUACAGUGCUGUUCGUGAUCUAAAGGAAAUUCAUUAUAAAGUGGCCUUUCUUUAUAGAGGAAGACAUAUUCUUUCUUUAUUGUUGCCUCUCAAGCCAGACUCCCUGCCCAGUCUGGAGAAAGAUAAUAUUUCUCCUAAGAAGACAAUAUUAAUGAACUCAAUUCGGAGAAUACAGUUGCCCGGGCUGAGGCAAAGAGACUCAAAGCAUGCCUUGGGUCCCAGUUUUGCUUUUAUAAUUUCCUUCACUGAAGGAAUGGUGGAGAAUGGAUAAAGGGAUGCCCUAAAAGCUAUAUUCCCAGAGGCAGGAGUUCUCCCUCUACACUAGGCUCUCCAGAAAUUAGGGGAAAGGCAGCUUCCUCAACGGCAUCACUUAGAUGGCCACUCUCUUUGUUUUCCUGGAAAAGGGUGCUGGCAACUAUGAAAAUGACAACUAGAACUCUGGGAUAACCUUGUCAUUUUUAUGCAUGUUGAUUCUUGGUUGUUAUUUGCUUGAUACUGAUCUAGAAGGGCAAAUAUGAUUUUAAAGAAAAGUAUAAGAAGCUCUGUGUCUCAGAAUGACAUCUGAUUCAUCACAAAGGAUUUCCCUGUUUAUUCCCCAGUGAGUCACAUGUACACAGAAAUGAGGGAGACACUUUAAAAGACAUGGAAAUAGAAGGACAGUUACCAGAGGCUGGGAAGGAUAGUGGGAGGGUUGGGGUGGGGGAAGGUGGGGAUGAUCAAUGGGUACAAAAAAAUAGCUAUAAAGAACAAAUAAGACCUACUAUUUGAUAACACAACUGGGUGACUAUAGUCAAUAAUAAUUUAAUUGUAUUUUUAAAAAACUAAAAAUGUAUAAUUGAAUUGUUUGUAAUACAAAGCAAAAAUGUUUGAAGGGAUGGAGACCUCAUUCUCCAUGAUGUGAUUAUAAUGCAUUGCAUGCCUGUAUUAACACAUCUCAUGUACCCUGUAAAUAUUAGGUUGAUGCAAAAGUAAUUGUGGUUUUUGGCUAUAUACACCUACCAUGUACCCAAAACAACUAAAAAUAAAUUAAA